Molecule: unclassified non-coding RNA, 373 nt
Filed under: soil metagenome
Description: partial contains 5.8S ribosomal RNA, internal transcribed spacer 2, and large subunit ribosomal RNA
Rfam family: 5.8S ribosomal RNA (bases 1-120)
Source: RNAcentral
GAUGAAGAACGUAGCGAAAUGCGAUAAGUAAUGUGAAUUGCAGAAUUCAGUGAAUCAUCGAAUCUUUGAACGCACAUUGCGCCCGCCAGUAUUCUGGCGGGCAUGCCUGUUCGAGCGUCAUUACAACCCUCAAGCCCCCCGGCUUGGUGUUGGGGACCGGCCACCGGUGCCCUGCUGCUUCCGCGGCAGGCGCACCCGGCCGCCCCCGAAAUGAAUUGGUGGCCCCGUCGCGGCCUCCCUCUGCGUAGUAGCACACAUCUCGCAGCUGGAGCGCGGCGCGGCCACUGCCGUAAAACGCACCAACUUUUUUUACAGUUGACCUCGAAUCAGGUAGGAAUACCCGCUGAACUUAAGCAUAUCAAUAAGCGGAGGA